RNAcentral lists this small nuclear RNA (24 nucleotides) under Arabidopsis thaliana (thale cress). RNAcentral describes it as "snRNA_08867". Lineage: Eukaryota; Viridiplantae; Streptophyta; Magnoliopsida; Brassicales; Brassicaceae. The record is from RNAcentral.
AAGAUAGUUAGAAGAUAUCGACUU